This 72-nucleotide transfer RNA is filed under the name Ophionotus victoriae. RNAcentral describes it as "tRNA-Phe". It matches the Rfam family "tRNA". From Rfam's summary of the family: Transfer RNA (tRNA) molecules are approximately 80 nucleotides in length. Their secondary structure includes four short double-helical elements and three loops (D, anti-codon, and T loops). Further hydrogen bonds mediate the characteristic L-shaped molecular structure. tRNAs have two regions of fundamental functional importance: the anti-codon, which is responsible for specific mRNA codon recognition, and the 3' end, to which the tRNAs corresponding amino acid is attached (by aminoacyl-tRNA synthetases). tRNAs cope with the degeneracy of the genetic code in two manners: having more than one tRNA (with a specific anti-codon) for a particular amino acid; and 'wobble' base-pairing, i.e. permitting non-standard base-pairing at the 3rd anti-codon position. The record is from RNAcentral. Lineage: Eukaryota; Metazoa; Echinodermata; Ophiuroidea; Amphilepidida; Ophiuridae.
ACUAAAAUAGUUAAAUGUUAUAACUAAACUUUGAAGAAGUUUGAUUGGGUUGUUAAAUUCCCCCUUUUAGUA